Molecule: ribosomal RNA, 406 nt
Filed under: uncultured bacterium
Lineage: Bacteria
Description: partial 16S ribosomal RNA
Rfam family: Bacterial small subunit ribosomal RNA
Source: RNAcentral
AUUGAACGCUGGCGGCAGGCCUAACACAUGCAAGUCGAGCGAGCGGCGGACGGGUGAGUAAUGCAUAGGUAUCUGCCUGGGCGUGGGGGAUAACGUCCGGAAACGGGCGCUAAUACCGAAUACUCUCGGAUGCACCAAUAUGGGAUUAGCUAUUAGGUGGGGUAAAGGCUCACCUAGGCGACGAUCCCUAGCUGGUCUGAGAGGAGGACCAGCCACACUGGAACUGAGACACGGUCCAGACUCCUACGGGAGGCAGCAGUGGGGAAUAUUGCACAAUGGGCGCAAGCCUGAUGCAGCCAUGCCGCGUGUAUGAAGAAGGCCUUCGGGUUGUAAAGUACUUUCAGCGGGGAGGCGUUACCCGCAGAAGAAGCACCGGCUAACUCCGUGCCAGCAGCCGCGGUAAUUC